Molecule: RNA transcript, 6979 nt
Organism: Tyto alba (common barn owl)
Lineage: Eukaryota; Metazoa; Chordata; Aves; Strigiformes; Tytonidae
Gene: RPAP2
Gene name: RNA polymerase II associated protein 2
Exons: 14
Source: RefSeq, a predicted model, not a curated record
ACAGCACCGCGCUACCGCCGCUUCCCGGCCCUGGCCACGCCGCCGCGGCGGCUCCGCCUCUCGGGUGAGAGGUCAGAGGGAGGGAGCGGGCAGCCGCGAUGAUGGCGGCCGGGACAGCCGCGGUGGUGGCGGCGGCCGGGCCGCCGCAGCCCGGCGCGAAGGGGAAGCCGCGCCGGCGGCGCGCAGGAAAUAAGCAUUCAGCUGCUCUGAAGAAUGAAGAUGCUGCUCAAAGGAAAGCAGCACUGGAGGUUGCUAUGAGAAAGAAGAUUGAAUUUGAGAAAAAAGCAUUGUAUAUUGUUGAACAACUCCUAGAGGAGAACAUUACUGAAGAGUUCCUUCUGAAUUCUGGAAAAUGUAUUACUCCAUCUCACUAUAAAGACAUUGUUGAUGAACGAUCUAUCAUCAAUCUAUGUGGUUAUCCUCUGUGUCAAAACAAACUGGAAAAUGUGCCAAAACAGAAGUACAGAAUUUCAACAAAAACAAACAGAGUUUAUGAUAUCACUGAAAGAAAGUGCUUUUGCAGCAACUUUUGCUAUAGAGCAUCUAAAUAUUUUGAAGCUCAAAUUUCCAAAAGUCCAGUAUGGAUGCGAGAAGAAGAAAAACCACCAGACAUAGAGCUGCUGAAGGAGGGACAGAGUGGACAGUCUGGAGAAGAGGUGAAGCUACGUGAUGAAGUAAUUAAAACAUCUGACAUUGAAAAUCCUAGGAUAUCUUCAAAUCCAUGUGAAUCUGGUUCUCAUGACACAGCCAGUGACAGCAGUAGUGAUACUGAACAAGAAUUUGUUUCUUCUGUCCUACCAGGACGUCAGUCAAGUUCAGCCAAUUUUGCACAGCAAUUGGACAAAAACAGCAUCCUCAAAAAGAAGUAUGCUCAGAAAGUCUGUUCCAGCCCUAAAACUGAAGACUCAGGUGUGGUAGAAGCCACUGAACAACUGUCUAGUUGUAAAUUAGAUACUCUGGAAGAAAUGCAUACUUGCUGUGUUCAUAAUAAAAUAACUGCAAUGCCUUCAAAAAAUAGUGCUCCAGGGAAAUCAAGUGCUUCAGAAAGCUAUCAGAAUACCUGUGGUUCACAGAUAGUUUUUCUAAGUGUGAGCAAAAGAGGGGCAGAACAUCUUAAAAGAACCCUAGCUAACUCAAAAGAACAUAAAAAAGCUGAACUGAGGCAUCCAGUCAAUUCCAAAGGCAGUUUAUUAGAAGUGCUUAAGCAAACACUUAUGGAAUGGAGAACUGAAGAAACUUUAAAAUUUCUCUAUGGACCAAACUAUACUGCAUCAGAGUGCCUAUCAUCUUCCAACCAGGAGAAUGAAGAACUUGAUGAGGAUGAUCUAGAUACAGCUGAUGAUCUUAACACUGUUGCUAUAGGGGAGUCUGAAAACAGUCUGAACUAUGCUUUACCUUUCACAGGCCCAGGUGGAAUAGUUAAGCCUGUGCCUAGUUAUGAAAAGUUAAAAGAAGAAACAGAGUUCCUAGAACUCAGAGUAAAAGAGUUCUAUAAAGGAAAGUAUAUCUUGGCUGAAGAGGCUGUGACACACAUACAAGCAGAGGAACAUCCAAGCAAAGACAAAGAUGAUCAACCAGAAGAUCUCACCUUCCCACUUGUUGAUUCAAAUGCACAAAUGCAGAUUAGAAAGCGAAUCGUCCUUGAAAAACUGAGAAAAGCAUUACCUGCAGUUUUGGGCCCUCUUCAGAUUGUUCCGGGUGAUGUUUACACAGAGCUAAAAAAUCUUGUCAAAACUUUCCGGUUAACAAACAGAAAUAUUAUUCACAAAAUGCCUGAAUGGACUCUAAUUGCUAUUGUUUUGUUAUCUGUAUUGUCACAAAUUACUCCACUUUUCAAGAAUACUCAGACAAGCCCAAGGUACACACAGUUCCUGACUACGUUGCUGGAAGAACUGCAUUUCAAAAAUGAAGAUCUGGAAAGUUUAACAAGAAUAUUUAGAAAGGACUGCCUACUUGAAUGAAAAAGGUGAUCAUCUUAACGUCUCCUAAUAUCUGAAAUAGUGUCACAGAGAACAAAAGAACGCCUUCAAUUGUUAGAACAUUUUUAAAUGAAAAAUGGAAUUUAGUAUUAAUUGUACUCUUGCGCUUUUGCUUUUUCAUUUCCUUCCUGUGAAUAAGAAUUUUGAAGUCUUGUGGAGAAUCUGACUAUAACAGCAGUUGCCCAAGGUAGUACUUCACUGUAGAUUCUGAGCAAGCUAUUGUUCUGUUCCAUUCAUGUUUCCCUUGGGGUAUAAAGAUUACAACUACCCCAUGACAAUGCUGCUAUACAGAGUACACCUGGAAGGCAUUACAAAUGUACAUCAUACUGGGAAUAUGACUGCUCCAUCAGGUUCAAUGGCACUUAUUUGGAAAGUUUUUACACUUCCUGUCAGUUUAGUGGUGUGAUUUUUUUUGUUAGUUAUUUUUAGGCUUGGUCUUCAGCACUCACUGUGUAGGAAACCUAUGAUCUUGUAACAAGAGUGAAUAGGUCACAGGCCUCAAGACCUCUUUAUCAGGGUUCACUGUAGCUGCUUUUACUGUCUGCCUUAGCAGCUAAAAAAAAGUAAGCUUCCAGGAUUUUUGCAUCUUCUCCUUGACUACUGUGUAGUAAGCUCACUCAUUCUUUUUCUUACCCUAAGAGAACAGAAUAACCUUUUUCCUUCCAUUACAUUCACCAGUCCAGAAGAAAGACUUCUAUAAUAUACUGGAAAUGACCUGAAGGGAUAUUCUUCGCUUACCUUUAAUGAUUUCAUCUCCUGUAGUUGUGAGUAAAGCACGUGUAAAUAAAUGCAGAAAGUAUACCCAUUACACUUUUGAGUACAAGAAGGGCUGUAGACUCAUCUCAAAAGGAUUUUCAUACUAUCAGCCUUAAUUGGUUGUACAAGGCACCAAAAAUAACUGAGAUAGAUGAGGUGCAUCUGUGACUUCAGAGGCUGUGCCCACAUAACAGAUGGAAGAUUCACCUGUAUUUUCACUCUUCAGUCCCAGUGAGUAGGUCUUGGUGGGGAAGUAACAGUCCUGGGAAUCUUGGUGUUGAACCUAUAUGUCCCUUUCUCCCACCAGUUUGAGAGAAUCUGGACUCUGCAAAAUGCAAGAGGGGCUGAGCAGCUCAGCAGGACGUUAAGUCUCAGUUGACCUUUAACUGCUGGAGAGAAAAGGACUAACGCAUCAGAGAGAAGAAAAAGGAAGAGAGAAGGGGAAAGCAGUAUUCACACGUUCUAAAUUUAGGCAUCUAACCAUAGCUACCUGCCUAUCUCCAUUUACUUCAGAGAGAACCAGUACUCUUAAAUUAAGGUUCUCCAAAUCAUACCUCAGUGCAAGUGUAUGAAAUGGGUGGUAUUAAUGCCUCUGACCCUAUUCCCUGUUGGCAGAAAGAAAGCUGAAAAGUCAGCUGAGAACUUUGACCAUAGUAGAUUGGCUUUCCCUGGAGUAAUUUAUUUAGUAGUAAAUUGUGGCACAAAACUGAUUGGGGACCUGCCUCUGCAAAGUGGGAAGUUUCUAAGCAAUCUGAUCCUAUUGUUCAGUUAUUUUGAUGGCUGCUACUUCACACAGAUUUUUUCUUAACCUGUAAGAGUUAAAACCAAAAGAAUUAAUAUGAGUGGCAGUACUCAGGAAGAAAAAUAAUGCCUGUGUGUUGCAAGGACAUCCAGGAGGUUACACUAGUUCUACCUCCAAGCUUUCCAUACUUACUGUUUAUUUCUGCGGUUGCUUAUGAACACUCAGUAGUGUGGGUGGGGUUUAGCUUGUUCUCACUGGGGUAGCAGGUAAUGAACUGUCAUUUCCAAUGAGCAUUAAAUAUUGAAAACACAGAAUCAGCCUCUCUUUGGCAAGUCUUAAGUUUCCAUAAGCAGCAGAUGGUAUACAAGGCAGGGCUAGGCACCUAUAAAGACUCUCAACUGUGUAUCUCUACCACCUGACAGCCAGUCCUCCUCUGAUUAGAGCCAAAGGAAGUGGGUGUGCCUUCCAUGAUCAAAGACAGAAAGUAAUAUUGCUAGAGACUUUUCCUCUUGUGAGCUUUCUUUUUGUGACUCUUCAUCUUAGAACCACUUCUCUGCACAGACUGCAGACAAUGCUUUGGGAGACGAGCUGCCUGAAAGGUGCUGUAGAACGUGAACUGUGGCAUUUGUGGUGCUGAACAGGAUUUGGCGAGGUGGGGGGAGAGAGCUGGCAACCCGUGUCUUCAAGUAGCUCUCAUUUGAGCACUCUGCUUUCGAAAAGCAAGUGAAAACAUACAUCACCUUCAACGGCUGAUCUGGACAUGCGUGAUAAAUGUUAAUCAUUCCCCCUUGGUUGCUUGCAGAUGCAGAGCAAGGAGCAAGGCAACCUGGAGUUCUGAAAAAUAGACAAGAAUAGCCAAAAAGAGUAAUAACUAGCAAGAAGAAAAAUGAAAAACAAGCACAAGCCUUCCGAAACUAUUCUUGUCCUGGAAUAUGGGCGAUAUUGUGAAAUACCUUUUGGGCAUCCUCCUCAAAAUAGUAUCCUCAGUACAGCAUCAAGUCUGGGGCAGCAUUAACUGUUGUGGCAGGGCUGGAAAGGCCAGAAACAAAGCCCACCAGCUUUCAGACCAGUGUUUCUUAGAUCUGCAGGCCAUGUUUAUCUGCCCAGUGACUUUGCCACCAUAGCUGACUGCAGAUAUAAGUCUUAGACUUAGGAAGGCUUAUCAAUCAGAAUAAUGCAGUAAGGGUGACCCCUGCAACAUUUCAGAUGUCCACCUGUUUGUUGAUUUUACUGUGCUAUCCUGCAGGUACCCCAAGACAACGGCUCCCUAAUGAGUCCCUUCUCCAAGACCAGACUAGAGCUGACACAUUGGUGAUCAUCAGGCAGUUGCAUCUUGCCACUGUGAAAACCUCCCCCUUAGAAGUCAGUCUCUAGAAUGCUUCGGGAGCCUAUACUUUAAAGGCAAAGUCUUCAGUGCGUUGCUGCAGGCUGUUAUUACCUGCAGGAGCUGCAUGCAAAGAUCAGAGAACAAAGCCAGUGGGGCUAAUGACUGGAACAUCCUGCAUCAUUGCAAGCCACAUCAAAUCAGUGCUAUUUCUGGCACUUUUUAGCCUCUUAAAUUUCAUGGGGUAUGUAACUGAAUUGAACACAUUGUGGGACAGCAGCAGCUUCCUGGAGAGCCCUGCACUUUGGUUAGAAUUAGUCAUCACUACAGAGUUUGAAGGACUUUGGAUACAGCUUUAAUAAGCUGCAAACACUUAGAUCACGAUUUACAUCAUAAAUCUUGCCUUUUUGUUCUACUCAAAUGGGAGUGUCUACAAAUCAGGUUAAUAUAAUUUAACAGUACAGUAGUUAGGUAACAAAAAAGAUCAUAAUUGGUAGUAUUAUCUAAGAAGCCAGAACAACCCUGCUUACAGCUGCCAGCUAAGAUCUGACUCAUCUAAGGUAUUUUAUAGCAACCAUAUGUUAGGCAUGUCUAUCUCACCUACUAUGCAAAAAAAUGAUAACGUUUCCUAAUCAGGAUUUGCCACUGAGCAGGAUUUUCCGUAAACAUCUCAGUAUUGCAGGCGCUAUCCACAGUCAGGAGAAAGCCUUUUGCAGACAUUUCAGAUUUGUUAAUUUAACAAAUAGAAUAAAUGUCUACAAAUCUGGGGCUAGUACUGAUUCAGCAAGGCUGGCUGCAGUUCAGAGUAUAGGUAUGUUACUUUGGCAGUUGACAUGUUAAAACAUCACUUAAGAAUUCUGUGUUUGAAAGUAACAUCAGAAUACCUGCACUUCUUGUGCAAAAAAAAACCUGGGUGUUUCAAAUUGAAGACACAGUCUUGAAGCAGGAACAGCUAUGUGAUACAUUAAAAAUACUUCACUGAGAUGGCACAAGCAGAGUUGUAUUGGUAUAGCAUGUUUACCUGCAUAGGCAGAAAAGAGAGGGUGAAUUCAUACCAGUACAGGAGAGAAAGAUUAAAAGUUAAGUCUGAAGAUACUAAGGUCUUUGACAACAGUGCAGUUGGUUAAGCUGGAAUCAUCACUGCAUUUUAACAAGAGCAGACACUUGUAAACCCCAUUGGCUGUUGAUUUUUGAGCAAGUUUUACAUCCAGUUCACUGUCACACAGAAACACUGCCUAAUCCUCUGCAGUCUGAUGUUCGUUCUUGCACAAAGACUAGUUAAAUGUACAUCAGCCUUAACUAUUGCUAGGCUCCUGCUGCAUUAUCUGAGUAGUCUAAAGGAGUAAUGCCAGGGAUGAAGCUGCAGUCCCGACACUCGCUUCUGUUCUCAAAAGGACAGUAGUUUUAUUACUUAAAGCUCUGAUGACAAAGCUCCUGUUAAUGCAAAGGAGAGCAAACACUUGACUUGGUAAUUAUAUACCUUGUUUAGGAAUCACAAUCUUUCAUUUUUUUAAGAGAAGCCCUCCACUUAAAAGCUUCUUUGAAUACAUUUGUUUUUUCUGAACUGUGGACUGUCACUACAUUUAAAAAAAAAUUAAAAAAGUAAAAAGCAAAGUAGGUAUUUUUGCUGCAUAAGAUCCUUGGUUCAUUAUAAAAUUUCACAACUAGAAAUGUAGUUAAAGUAUUUCUUCCUUAUUAUUUCUCCGGAAGGCAUUUAAGAACUUGGAAAAUAAAUGAUUUUACAGGUACCAUAUUAGCCCUCAAGAGCUCUGGGUCAAAUAUUUGUCAUCUCUGCUAACUAUUCAUUUCUAAGAUCCUCCCAAGCUCUGCUUUUUUGUACACUGAACAUCUGAUGCUUCUUGUUUUUCCUUCUGUAACCACAGAUGUGCCCUCUUCAAAAAACUCACAAUCUCAAAAUACUAAACUGACAAGCUGAGUGUCAAACCACACACCCCAAGCAGCAAGCAGUGCUGAAGAAAAACAGAAUCACGCUUGAAGAAAAACAGAAGAAAUCACACAAAUUCUUUCCAAAGAAUGAAUCUGAAAUGUUUUCAACUCUGCGCAGGCAUUGUUUCUUAAGAAUGCAAAUGCCAUUUGAUGUUUCUAGUUUUCAUGCUCACUUACUGUAUCAGCAGGGGCUGCUCUCGGAAAGAAGAGAUUAAUUUGAACACUGCUUUA